RNAcentral lists this ribosomal RNA (492 nucleotides) under uncultured bacterium. Its description in RNAcentral is "partial 16S ribosomal RNA". It matches the Rfam family "Bacterial small subunit ribosomal RNA", at positions 29 to 507 of the family's 1533-position model. The record is from RNAcentral.
AGUGAACGCUGGCGGCAGGCCUAACACAUGCAAGUCGAACGGCAGCACAGUAAGAGCUUGCUCUUACGGGUGGCGAGUGGCGGGCGGGUGAGGAAUACAUCGGAAUCUACUUUUUCGUGGGGGAGAACGUAGGGAAACUUACGCUAAUACCGCAUACGACCUACGGGUGAAAGCAGGGGAUCUUCGGACCUCGCGCGAUCGAAUGAGCCGAUGUCGGAUUAGCUAGUUGGCGGGGUAAAGGCCCACCAAGGCGACGAUCCGUAGCUGGUCUGAGAGGAUGAUCAGCCACACUGGAACUGAGACACGGUCCAGACUCCUACGGGAGGCAGCAGUGGGGAAUAUUGGACAAUGGGCGCAAGCCUGAUCCAGCCAUACCGCGUGUGUGAAGAAGGCCUUCGGGUUGUAAAGCCCUUUUGUUGGGAAAGAAAAGCAGCAGGUUAAUACCCCGCUGUUCUGACGGUACCCAAAGAAUAAGCACCGGCUAACUUCGUG